AUUGAACGCUGGCGGCAGGCUUAACACAUGCAAGUCGAGCGAGCGGCGGACGGGUGAGUAAUGUCUGGGAAACUGCCUUAUGGAGGGGUAUAACUAAUGGAAACGGUAGCUAAUACCGCAUACCAUCAGAUGUGCCCAGAUGUGAUUAGCAAGUAGGUGGGGUAAUGGCUCACCUUGGCGCCGAUCCCUAGCUGUUCUGAGAGGUUGACCAGCAACACUGGAACUGAGACACGGUCCAGAUUCCUACGGGAGGCAGAAGUGGGGAAUAUUGCACAAUGGGCGCAAGCCUGAUGAAGCCAUGCCGCGUGUGUGAAGAAGGCCUUCGGGUUGUAAAGCACGUUCAGCGAGGAGGCGUUACUCGCAGAAGAAGCACCGGCUAACUCCGUGCCAGCAGCCGCGGUAAUUC
This 406-nucleotide ribosomal RNA is filed under the name uncultured bacterium. Its description in RNAcentral is "partial 16S ribosomal RNA". It matches the Rfam family "Bacterial small subunit ribosomal RNA", at positions 30 to 526 of the family's 1533-position model. The record is from RNAcentral.